This 498-nucleotide ribosomal RNA is filed under the name uncultured bacterium. RNAcentral's name for it is "bacterial SSU rRNA". It matches the Rfam family "Bacterial small subunit ribosomal RNA", at positions 30 to 504 of the family's 1533-position model. The record is from RNAcentral.
CGAACGCUGGCGGCGUGCUUAACACAUGCAAGUCGAACGCGAACGAGUUCUUCGGAACUUUAGUAGAGUGGCGCACGGGUGAGUAACGCGUAAGUAAUCUACCCUCGCAUUUGGGAUAACCCACCGAAAGGUGUGCUAAUACCGGAUACGUCUAUUUUAAUAUCUUUUUUUUAGAGAAAGGUGGCCUCUGAUGUAAGCCACUGUGCGGGGAGGAGCUUGCGUACCAUUAGCUAGUUGGUAGGGUAACGGCCUACCAAGGCGACGAUGGUUAGCGGGUCUGAGAGGAUGAUCCGCCACACUGGAACUGGAACACGGACCAGACUCCUACGGGAGGCAGCAGUGAGGAAUAUUGCGCAAUGGGGGCAACCCUGACGCAGCGACGCCGCGUGGAUGAUGAAGGCCUUCGGGUUGUAAAAUCCUGUCAGAUGGGAAGAAGUGCCAGUUAUCUAAUAGGUGAUUGGUUUGACGGUACCAUCAAAGGAAGCACCGGCUAACUCC